AGAGUUUGAUCCUGGCUCAGAUUGAACGCUGGCGGCAGGCUUAACACAUGCAAGUCGAGCGGAAACGAUGGAGCUUGCUCCAGGCGUCGAGCGGCGGACGGGUGAGUAACGCGUAGGAAUUUGCCCAAUAGUGGGGGAUAGCCCGGGGAAACCCGGAUUAAUACCGCAUACGCCCUACGGGGGAAAGCAGGGGAUCUUCGGACCUUGCGCUAUUGGAGAAGCCUGCGUGAGAUUAGCUUGUUGGUGGGGUAAAGGCCUACCAAGGCGACGAUCUCUAGCUGGUCUGAGAGGAUGAUCAGCCACACCGGAACUGAGACACGGUCCGGACUCCUACGGGAGGCAGCAGUGGGGAAUAUUGGACAAUGGGCGCAAGCCUGAUCCAGCCAUGCCGCGUGUGUGAAGAAGGCCUUCGGGUUGUAAAGCACUUUAAGUAGGGAGGAAGGCCCUGUAGUUAAUACCUGCAGGGAUUGACGUUACCUACAGAAUAAGCACCGGCUAACUCCGUGCCAGCAGCCGCGGUAAUACGGAGGGUGCAAGCGUUAAUCGGAAUUACUGGGCGUAAAGCGCGCGUAGGCGGUUUGUUAAGUGAGAUGUGAAAGCCCAGGGCUCAACCUUGGAACUGCAUCUCAUACUGGCAGGCUAGAGUACGGUAGAGGGGGGUAGAAUUCCACGUGUAGCGGUGAAAUGCGUAGAGAUGUGGAGGAAUACCAGUGGCGAAGGCGGCCCCCUGGAUCGAUACUGACGCUGAGGUGCGAAAGCGUGCGGAGCAAACAGGAUUAGAUACCCUGGUAGUCCACGCCGUAAACGAUGUCAACUAGCCGUUGGGACUCUUGAAGUCUUAGUGGCGCAGCUAACGCACUAAGUUGACCGCCUGGGGAAUACGGCCGCAGGUUAAAACUCAAUGAAUUGACGGGGGCCCGCACAAGCGGUGGAGCAUGUGGUUUAAUUCGACGCAACGCGAAGAACCUUACCCUGGCCUUGACAUCCAGAGAACUUUCCAGAGAUGGAUUGGUGCCUUCGGGAACUCU
This 1028-nucleotide ribosomal RNA is filed under the name uncultured Gammaproteobacteria bacterium. Its description in RNAcentral is "bacterial SSU rRNA". It matches the Rfam family "Bacterial small subunit ribosomal RNA", at positions 8 to 1030 of the family's 1533-position model. The record is from RNAcentral. Lineage: Bacteria; Pseudomonadati; Pseudomonadota; Gammaproteobacteria.